AAGAUUGGACUUCUAAGCCGUUACUUGCAGGGUUUGUUACUAGAGAAGUUUCUCUCACUGUGUAGAGCACCCGAGACCACGAGAAUGAGAUGUAGCUUUCCCUCCUGAGCAUGAAGCCGGCUCUAGGCGCUGCUUUUCUGUGACUGUCUCCUGUCGCUGGUGAUCGUUCAUCUCUCUCUCUAGGAGAGCGAGAGGAAAGGAACACAGUCUGAGUGAA
This is a small nucleolar RNA of Microtus ochrogaster (prairie vole), 217 nucleotides long. Its record names the gene U3. It matches the Rfam family "Small nucleolar RNA U3". Rfam says of the family: Small nucleolar RNAs (snoRNAs) are involved in the processing and modification of rRNA in the nucleolus. There are two main classes of snoRNAs: the box C/D class, and the box H/ACA class. U3 snoRNA is a member of the box C/D class. NCBI's taxonomy places the organism in Eukaryota, Metazoa, Chordata, Mammalia, Rodentia, Cricetidae. The record is from Ensembl.